AGUGAACCGGGAUGAGCUCAAAUUUAAAAUCUGGCGUCUUUCAGGCGUCCGAGUUGUAAUCUAUAGAGGCGUUUUCCGCGCCGGACCGCGUCCAAGUCUCUUGGAAUAGAGUAUCAAAGAGGGUGACAAUCCCGUACUUGACGCGACAACCGGUGCUCUGUGAUACGUUCUCAAUGAGUCGAGUUGUUUGGGAAUGCAGCUCUAAAUGGGUGGUAAAUUCCAUCUAAGGCUAAAUAUUGGCGAGAGACCGAUAGCGAACAAGUACCGUGAGGGAAAGAUGAAAAGCACUUUGGAAAGAGAGUUAAACAGCACGUGAAAUUGUUAAAAGGGAAACGAUUGAAGUCAGUCGUGUGAAAGGUAUUCAGCCGUCUCUGGCGGUGUAUUUGCCUUUCACGGGUCAACAUCAGUUUGAUCCGGUAGAAAAAGGCAGGAGGAAGGUGGCACCCUCGGGUGUGUUAUAGCCUCUUGUCAUAUGUGCCGGACCAGACUGAGGAACGCAGCUUGCCGCAAGGCCGGGGUUCGCCCACGUACAAGCUUAGGAUGUUGACAUAAUGGCUUUAAACGACCCGUCUUGA
This 575-nucleotide ribosomal RNA is filed under the name Vishniacozyma victoriae. Its description in RNAcentral is "eukaryotic LSU rRNA". It matches the Rfam family "Eukaryotic large subunit ribosomal RNA", at positions 92 to 657 of the family's 3401-position model. The record is from RNAcentral. Lineage: Eukaryota; Fungi; Basidiomycota; Tremellomycetes; Tremellales; Bulleribasidiaceae.